RNAcentral lists this ribosomal RNA (132 nucleotides) under Prolemur simus (greater bamboo lemur). Lineage: Eukaryota; Metazoa; Chordata; Mammalia; Primates; Lemuridae. The record is from RNAcentral.
GUCUACGGCCAUACCACCCUGAAUGCGCCCGCUCUCGUCUGGUCUCGGAAGCGAAGCAGGGUCGGGCCUGGUUAGUACUUGGAUGGGAGAAAAAGGAUAAAUAGUUGCACAGGAAACUGGGAUCUGAAGGAC